UUGUUAGAAGCCAAAAAGAGGCUUAUCAUUGUUAAUGAUAUUAUUGAAAUAUAUUUCCUAACAAG
RNAcentral lists this transfer RNA (65 nucleotides) under Macromedaeus distinguendus. RNAcentral describes it as "tRNA-Asn". Lineage: Eukaryota; Metazoa; Arthropoda; Malacostraca; Decapoda; Xanthidae. The record is from RNAcentral.